Molecule: long non-coding RNA, 1519 nt
Organism: Bactrocera dorsalis (oriental fruit fly)
Lineage: Eukaryota; Metazoa; Arthropoda; Insecta; Diptera; Tephritidae
Exons: 3
Source: RefSeq, a predicted model, not a curated record
UUCGUCUGCUGGGCGCUCAUUGCCCUAUCUUUGCAAUAUUUAGCUUUGCGCUCACUCAGCCGAGCGCCAAAUGUUGCUGCUGUUGGCAUAUUACUGUGAUUUCUCCGCAAUGCGCAGAGUGCGCGCUCUUUUUUCGAAUGCUCCACGCCAGUGUCAGUUAAAUGUAACGUCGUUUACGCGAAUUCAAAAUUUUGAAAAUUUUCGUUACAACUACAAAAUUUGUAGGCUCUCCGCUGGCAGCACACAACCGGCUGGGAAAUAUCAUUUAGCCUUUUGUUGGCGCUUUGUUGGCUGUGUGUGUGUGUAAAUGGUUGUUGUGUGUUGUUUAGUUGUGGGGACUGUUAAGUUUGUGAGUAGUGCGCGCUUUUUGGUGCUGGUGUUGCUGGGGCUGUGUACGUAGGAUUUCGAAUUGAAUUUUUGCGCGCAGCCAACAAACAAGUGGCGGUUAUUUUUCGAAUUGACUCACGUCUGCGCGCUAUGGCGUUGCGGUGAAAUACUUUUGAGAGCGUAUAUAAGUAGCCAAUCGGUAUUGCCUACGUGCUUGAGAUCGCGCCUGAAAGCUGUUCUGGCUUCGAAAAAAAAGUCUGCUCAUAACAGUAUCAAAUAUGAUGAAAUAGUCCAUGAACCAUACUGAACUGUAAUGGGAACCCCACACUACCACAGUACCCACCUCUAACCAGCCCCACAUCUAACCUAAAGUAAGAUUGUGAAAUACCGCAAAACGAUUGCAUUCAGCCAUGGAAUCAUUUGCAGCAGUAGAAUUUUCAAUAAACUCUUUGUUGCCUACACUGAAAAGCAAGUAACAGAUAUACAGAACCUUAUACUAUAAUUUAAUAAAUGAUUUUAUUAUUCAAUUGUAGAAGAGUACCGUAUAUAAGUUCACAUAGUUUGUGCUGCUUGUGGCCUAUAAAAAAAUUGCACUUAAGUAUUUUUUAUUGUUUGUGGCAGCAAUUGUUGUUGUGGAUAAUUGUUAUUGAAGCCUAUACAUAUAUGACAGCAGCUGUGAAAUGGCGAAUAUCAUACAAUAAUAUAUUUUUUUCGUACCCAAUUGUUGCUUACUCUCACACCCUUUUAAAUGAAGUACUCGAGUGCUUAUGUAUGUUUGUAUAAAUGCUACGAACAGCAGCUGAAACACAGCUAUAGCUGAAAUUGUUGAAACAUACGCACUACGCACGCGCAACUGUACAAGAUUUUCGAGUGAUACAGCAAGCGCAUGAGAGUGUGUGAGAGGAAAUACCAAUAGUGAUGCUAAAGAAUUGAUGUGUAAAGGCGUAGGUAACUGCAAUUGUACCUUCAAUUAAUUUGUGUUUAAUACAAAUAUUUAAUGUAUUAUGAAAGUGGGUUGAAAAUUAUUUUUUAAAAAUCUUCUUGUAAGGUAUUCAAUAAAGGAGUCUUAGAGGUUUUUAAAAUUUGGUAUUUUUUAUAAAAUUUCUGCGCUAAUCGAAAUAUUACUAGACAUUACGAAUGGUAUUUUUAUUUAGUUUAUAUAGAACAUUUUUUUUAUUAAAAUGCCCUUAAA